CCUACGGGAGGCAGCAGUGGGGAAUAUUGGGCAAUGGGCGCAAGCCUGACCCAGCAACGCCGCGUGAAUGAAGAAGGCUUUCGGGUUGUAAACUUCUUUUAUCAGGGACGAAGCAAGUGACGGUACCUGAUGAAUAAGCCACGGCUAACUACGUGCCAGCAGCCGCGGUAAUACGUAGGUGGCAAGCGUUAUUCGGAUUUACUGGGCGUAAAGGGCGCGUAGGCGGGAGUGCAAGUCGGAUGUGAAAACUAUGGGCUUAACCCAUAGUCUGGUUUUGAAACUGUACUUCUUGAGUGCAGGAGAGGCGAUGGGAAUUCCGUGUGUAGCGGUGGAAUGCGUAGAUAUUCGGAGGAACACCAGUGGCGAAGGCGGAUAGCUGGACAGUAACUGACGCUGAGGCGCGAAAGCGUGGGGAGCAAACAGGAUUAGAUACCCGGGUAGUC
Molecule: ribosomal RNA, 443 nt
Filed under: uncultured bacterium
Lineage: Bacteria
Description: partial 16S ribosomal RNA
Rfam family: Bacterial small subunit ribosomal RNA
Source: RNAcentral